This 192-nucleotide unclassified non-coding RNA is filed under the name plant metagenome. RNAcentral describes it as "partial contains small subunit ribosomal RNA, internal transcribed spacer 1, and 5.8S ribosomal RNA". The record is from RNAcentral.
UUUCCGUAGGUGAACCUGCGGAAGGAUCAUUAACGAGUAAAGUCCUUCAGGACUUUCUUAUCCAAACACCGGUGCCAAUUAAUUUUUGCUUUUGGAAUUUAAUUAUUCCCACCAAUCAAAACCACUAAGUUGUCUUUUGUCUCCAUGAUUAUUUAAAAAUCAAAACUUUCAACAACGGAUCUCUUGGUUCUC